Non-coding RNA from Potamilus streckersoni, 76 nucleotides. The record is from the annotation of a GenBank genome assembly. NCBI's taxonomy places the organism in Eukaryota, Metazoa, Mollusca, Bivalvia, Unionida, Unionidae.
GACCGCUAGGUGGCCUAGUGGGUAGAGCGUCCGUCUUGCAUGUGGGAGGUCCUGGGUUUAAUCCCCGGUCGAGUCA